GCGCCGAGCCGAGACUCAUUUCUUGAACCAGAUGAAAGUUUCCAUUCCUGCAAAGGAAAUCUGAGAUC
Non-coding RNA from Otolemur garnettii (small-eared galago), 68 nucleotides. The record is from Rfam. NCBI's taxonomy places the organism in Eukaryota, Metazoa, Chordata, Mammalia, Primates, Galagidae.